UGGGGAAUAUUGGACAAUGGGGGGAACCCUGAUCCAGCCAUGCCGCGUGUGUGAAGAAGGCCUUAUGGUUGUAAAGCACUUUAAGCGAGGAGGAGGGUACUGGUAUUAAUACUACCAGGUACUGGACGUUACUCGCAGAAUAAGCACCGGCUAACUCUGUGCCAGCAGCCGCGGUAAUACAGAGGGUGCGAGCGUUAAUCGGAUUUACUGGGCGUAAAGCGUGCGUAGGCGGCUAAUUGAGUCGGAUGUGAAAUCCCCGAGCUUAACUUGGGAAUUGCAUUCGAUACUGGUUAGCUAGAGUGUGGGGGAGGAUGGUAGAAUUCCAGGUGUAGCGGUGAAAUGCGUAGAGAUCUGGAGGAAUACCGAUGGCGAAGGCAGCCAUCUGGCCUAACACUGACGCUGAGGUACGAAAGCAUGGGGAGCAAACAGG
RNAcentral lists this ribosomal RNA (430 nucleotides) under Pseudomonadota bacterium. RNAcentral's name for it is "Proteobacteria bacterium partial 16S ribosomal RNA". It matches the Rfam family "Bacterial small subunit ribosomal RNA", at positions 355 to 776 of the family's 1533-position model. The record is from RNAcentral. Lineage: Bacteria; Pseudomonadati; Pseudomonadota.